GGAGAUGGUGGUGGAGACGAGCUGGCCCGUCUGGUUGAUGGUAACCGGCGCCUGCGUACGGGUCAGCGAGGCGAAGUUGGAAAGUGGAACCAGAACUCCUGAUUUCGCCGAAAGAAUAUUGAUAUCGCUGAGGAAAUCGUCAUUCCAGGAUUUGGAGCUGUCGAAUUCCACGAUGACGUCGUAGCUAUCGCCCGUCGACUGGAUUUGUGCCGCGGUAUAGCCGCCGAAGGACAUUUCCAGUGUCUUGCGUAACUGGUCAUUGGUGAUGCCGAAGGCGGCCGCUUUUUCCGGAUCGACGGAGAUCGUCGCGGCAAUCGCCCCGUUCUGGGCGUCGGUGGUGACGGCGGUGAAUGUGUGGUCGCGGCGCAUCGCCUCCA
Molecule: non-coding RNA, 377 nt
Filed under: Agrobacterium tumefaciens
Lineage: Bacteria; Pseudomonadati; Pseudomonadota; Alphaproteobacteria; Hyphomicrobiales; Rhizobiaceae
Source: RNAcentral